UGGGGAAUAUUGCACAAUGGGCGCAAGCCUGAUGCAGCCAUGCCGCGUGUAUGAAGAAGGCCUUCGGGUUGUAAAGUACUUUCAGCGGGGAGGAAGGGAGUAAAGUUAAUACCUUUGCUCAUUGACGUUACCCGCAGAAGAAGCACCGGCUAACUCCGUGCCAGCAGCCGCGGUAAUACGGAGGGUGCAAGCGUUAAUCGGAAUUACUGGGCGUAAAGCGCACGCAGGCGGUUGAUUGAGUCAGAUGUGAAAUCCCCGGGCUUAACCCGGGAAUUGCAUCUGAUACUGGUCAGCUAGAGUCUUGUAGAGGGGGGUAGAAUUCCAUGUGUAGCGGUGAAAUGCGUAGAGAUGUGGAGGAAUACCGGUGGCGAAGGCGGCCCCCUGGACAAAGACUGACGCUCAGGUGCGAAAGCGUGGGGGGCAAACAGG
Molecule: ribosomal RNA, 429 nt
Filed under: Chloroflexota bacterium
Lineage: Bacteria; Bacillati; Chloroflexota
Description: Chloroflexi bacterium partial 16S ribosomal RNA
Rfam family: Bacterial small subunit ribosomal RNA
Source: RNAcentral